This 474-nucleotide ribosomal RNA is filed under the name uncultured bacterium. RNAcentral's name for it is "bacterial SSU rRNA". It matches the Rfam family "Bacterial small subunit ribosomal RNA", at positions 335 to 801 of the family's 1533-position model. The record is from RNAcentral.
ACUCCGUACGGGAGGCAGCAGUAGGGAAUCUUCCACAAUGGGCGCAAGCCUGAUGGAGCAACACCGCGUGAGUGAAAAAGGGUUUCGGCUCGUAAAGCUCUGUUGUUAAAGAAGAACACGUAUGAGAGUAACUGUUCAUACGUUGACGGUAUUUAACCAGAAAGUCACGGCUAACUACGUGCCAGCAGCCGCGGUAAUACGUAGGUGGCAAGCGUUAUCCGGAUUUAUUGGGCGUAAAGAGAGUGCAGGCGGUUUUCUAAGUCUGAUGUGAAAGCCUUCGGCUUAACCGGAGAAGUGCAUCGGAAACAGGAUAACUUGAGUGCAGAAGAGGGUAGUGGAACUCCAUGUGUAGCGGUGGAAUGCGUAGAUAUAUGGAAGAACACCAGUGGCGAAGGCGGCUACCUGGUCUGCAACUGACGCUGAGACUCGAAAGCAUGGGUAGCGAACAGGAUUAGAUACCCUGGUAGGAUAGCG